Gasterosteus aculeatus aculeatus (three-spined stickleback) is the source of this 4278-nucleotide long non-coding RNA. The record is from Ensembl. NCBI's taxonomy places the organism in Eukaryota, Metazoa, Chordata, Actinopteri, Perciformes, Gasterosteidae.
CUUCCCUCAAAGUUCGGCUCAAAAGAGGGAUAAUGUUAAUCGAGCAUUUGAACGGAACACAAAAAAACCAACAAGAACCAAUUUCUGCUUUGCACCGAGCGCGGGCAUUUAAAGGAUCAGCCGGCGGUUCCAAAAAUUACGAGGAUUAGCUGGUUGAAACCAUUAGAUGACCAGCCGCUGCUCGCUGCUAUCGGGGAGAAUCAAACGGCGAAAAAGCAAAGCUGCUUUGCCGAACAGCAUGUCCCGCGCGCACGUGUCCUCCCUCCUGGAGGCAAGCUGCAGGUGCAGAGGAGGACAGCAGUUGUAGGGGUUUGUGUUUUGUGCAAAGAGGCAGCGUGCAAGCAGACGAAAGAGACUGCGGGUAGGCAAUGCGGCACACAUCGAAGAAGCAGCUCAUACGGCUAACCUGACAUUUUCACGCAGACCUCCGGCUGACUACACGUGUGUGAGGUGCGACUGCGUCAAGCGAGGCUGAGUUCCUGGAUUGAACCGCGGGAGGUUCUCAGCAGUCAAGAGACACUUGGAUGCUGCUGAUGCUGCUGAUGCCCUGCGGAUUGAACUUUGGCGGCAGGAUUAAGGCCCAUCCUUGUCAUCCCACAGGGCAGAGUGGUUUGAUUGACAGCUGGGUUCAGCAUCUUGACACAGGUCCGUGCCCCCGUCAUCAUCGCUGAUCGUCCCAUGCCGGCCUCUCAGAGUGACAGGUGCCUGCAGAGCCAUUUACUCCUCACGCAGCCGAAAAGAAAAAGUCGCCACGACUGCUCUCCUCCGCUUCCUGCACCUCUUCGUAACGUAUUUCCUUUUUAGCUUCCUGUAUUUCCCUUUUUUUUAGUAUUGUUUUUUUUCAUUUGGUUCUCCUUGACCUCAUCCUCUUUUCUCUCGUCUCUGAUCAACUCUCAAGUAUCUUCUGCAGGCAUCUUUUAAUCUAAAGGAAUCUGCCAGAUCUUAAUUAAGGUAAUUACUGUGUUUGUUUUAACUUAACACUCAUGACUCCACUCGAGCUACAAUCUUUGAGCGGGCUAUAACAGAUGGGGUGCUUAGUACUCCAUUGGGAUGCCUGACAGGAGUCAGCUGUAUGAUUUUUGAGCUUGAUGUUUUUUAGCUUAAUUUACCUCGCAAAACCGCUUAACAGGAAUUCCUCCCAAACCUUUCGCACAAAUGUUAAAAGGUGUCAUUAAUGUGUUAGGAGGGAAACCGAAACUGCUAUAUUUAUCAUGCGGAAUGGCUGGUUAGCUUUUAAUCACCACCACAAAAUGCGACAUUCCCUGAAGCUCUGUCACUAUGUGUUUUUUUUCGCAUGUACGUUUGGGCCUCAAGGGUUCUGGUUCAUCAACUCACAUUCAUCUCGUGACGAGCUGCUACACAACGUGUGGCGAUCCGCGAGCGACAAAACGCGUCUCUAUCUGUCUCGUUUGCUACUCAAAAGUUAGGAAACUCCAGGUUGUAAGCGUUUUAACAUGUAUCAUGUAACAUGUAACAUGUAUCAUGACCGAGAUACAUAUUGUGUGUGUGUGUGUGUGUGUGUGAGAGACCCAGAAGGACAGGAGGGCAUCAGAUGAGUACAGACUGUUUCCACCUGCCAGGUGCUUGGUCUCUAAUCCCCCCUCUCUGUCUGAUUAAACACACACACACACACACACACACACACACACACACACACACACACACACACACAUGCGUGUGCACGGGCACAACAAGGUCAUCUCUCUGUCAACCAUACAAUAGCGCUGUGUACCCAUCUGGCCUACAUCCUAAAUGCUUCCUCUUCAGUAAGCAAAUAAAAAAAAGGAGAAGACAGCAAACACUUGGAUCCAUAGCAACAGGUUACAAGUAAAUGACGAUUACAACAAUGGCGCUAUUUUACCACGUACUCCUUGUUCAUAAUGACAUGUCAUGUGCAGCCUGAUCUCCAAAACCUGUUCGUAAAAAUGUACACGAAAAUCUUGAAAAUACAAAUUUCGUAGUGAUACAUACGAAAUGACGUCACCCUAUUCAAAGUGAACGGGGACCUGCACCCCGUAAACACACUUUGUGAAGUCUAACGAUGUAAAAUAAACGUGUUAUGAUUGCAUUUUUAACGAGAAAUCAGUGUUAACUUGUAAGAAUAGAAUCCUAACCCUAACCCCCUCCAAAAAUCCGGCGAGGCGGAGAGACGUUCACUCAAGAAUCCGACAUGGUCCGCCAUGUUGUUCACUCAAGGGGCGUGGUUAACCCCCGCAGUUCGUAGGUAUCACUACGAAAUUUGUAUGUUCAAGAUUUUCGUAUACAUUUUUACGAACAGGUUUUGGAGAUCACGUUGGUCAUGUGACUAGUUGGGGAGAGGCCGGCAGUCACUUGUUUUGCCGUAUGUCCUUCUCUGUCCCGUGCACCCAGAGCUCCACUCAGAGAGGAUGAAGCCUGACACAAUAGUUUCUUUGUAUGAUAUCAAAAACACACUUUUAAGAACGCCGUUGUGCACCAAAGCUCGGCCAAAACCGCACGAGAUCCCCCUUCUCCCUUUUACAAUAAUAAAACUGCCUUUCUCUCUCUCUCUGUUUCCUGUUUUUACUUUGGAAUAUGACAAGCCUCCCCUGUGGUGAGGUCAUAUCAUUCUGACAAUGUUUUAUUCUGGGAGUACAACGCUUUGAUAUCUAGGAUAAGAGGGCUUUGUAGAGACAGUGACACCCGUCCUCCUCCUUCUACCUCCUCGGUACCCUCCCACUCCUCUGCCUUUCCUUCCCCUGGGGGGGUUUUGGCUUCUUCUGCCCCAUCUGACGGCUUUUAUGUCUGACGAGGUUUCUGCGCUGUUGAGGUGAGGACGAGGUCAAAAAGGACUUCAAACGCCGCGCUGAGGAACGCCAUGUCUGAAAUGAAUGAAGACGAAUGCGAAAAAAAAAAUUGUUUGUGUAACGUUUUGAACGGACACCUGAGUUCUGGGGUUUGUGUCCUGCGUUAAAUCACGGAGGACUAGAUAGCAUGCGGCCAGGAAAAUGUACCGUGCAUUAUCUACUAUGUUUAGCAUCAAGAGCAGCAUACCGUGCAUUUAUCACAAAUCUGUGUGUGGCUCGAUGUGCAUUACGAUAGUGCAGGAAUUCCAUGUGGUGCCGUGCUGUCUGCACCGUCUCCUCUGCUCACCUGUUGAGGCUGUGAUUAGAUACCGUCAACCUCCAGGCCACAGCUAUCACACACAGGUAGAGAACAGGCGGGACGCGGCUUUCCCUUAUGCUGCGGGAUGAGAGGGAACCGGUGAACCCCGGGAACUGCAGACGGCGCUGAAAGUUUGUGUCACACUAAUGAGCAAUCUGUCAACAAGUGUGCGCUACAGGGGGACUUCGAAAAAAAAAAAAAAAGCAAACGCUUGGAGAAAAAAAAACGAGAUUAUAUGGUGGAUAUCCCUGUACGAAUCCCCCUCCCUGUCUGAUUGGGGGACUGUAUAUUGUGCUCCGCGUGGGUUUUUGGAUGGUUUUUGUGUGAUUUGUGUGUUUUAACCCCUUGAUGAAAAACUUGAAUAUAGAAUCAUCUCCCUGUAACAGAAUUGUCGGCAGAUGUCAUUGUCCUCUUUGUUUUAUCCUUUGUUUUUAAAGAUAUUGGCGCCAGUAUCAGCGCAAGGGUUCAGUUGACAUCAGUAGGUGUAAACUUGUAAAGUUUUCUCCCCUCUGAAACUCCAACGUGACCUCAUAGUGUCAACCUCAACCGGACGGCCUAUCGUCUCAUUUAAGUAGGAAGCGGGGAGUUACGGACUGUGGAGAUCCAGGUAAACUGUAGAGAUGUGAUACUACUCUGACUUCAGUCACCCGUUAUUCUCCACUUUGUUAGUAAAAUAGUAACUGAACAUGCAAGUACGGUGUGGUCUGGUUUAAUCACUUCAUCAGAUCAUGUUUCAACAAAUAGCAUUUCAUGCCUCUCCUAGCAACACCUUUUAAAGGAAUAACACUCUUGUUUUUUCCAGCAUACAGUACAUGAUUCCUCCAAAUGACAUUAUUAUUAUUAUUGUUGUACGUAAAAAAGCAGUCAAUACUAUUCAACUCAACUAUAUAGAGUCCAAAAUAUCAGCAACAUCUCAGAAAGAAAUCACAUGAAUGUCUACAUACCGCUGCGGGAAGAUAAAUGUUCUCGUUGUUUUUUGGAGAGGGCCAACCUUCGCAUAUAAAUUAUUUUUCCCCUAAAGGUGCAAUAAAACAGCUACGUGUCACACACACUGCAAUCUCCUAUACGAGAUGAUCCCUGAUUAUGCGCUGGAGGGGCCCGUCUUGCAGGGAGGUUGACAAAGUGGGGCCUGACCCUGGGCCGAGGCUUGUUUUG